CCAGGCACGAAAAACAGCCAGGACGGAGGGCCCAGUGGGCGAGAGCUUGCGCUCGCGUCGAUGCCAUAACUCACAAGCCGUGGUAACUUAAGGACACCGUGCAAUAUGUGUACAUCUGCUCGGCACACUUCAUUUCUGAUUGGAUUGCAACGGAGAGCAAAGCCCUUCGCGGUGAGCUCGGCGCCACGAGACGAAACACGACACAGACACGAAAGAGGGAGAGAGAAAGCAUUCAGACAAACAGGUUUCCAAUCCCAAAAGUCUCUUACUGUAAAAAGCAGAAAAUGUAAACUUUUUUUCACUUUAGAAAUGUAACUGCUGAAUUUGCCGGUUUUGACUAAACUACUUUAUUUAUUUAUAUAUUUGUCUUAUGGCCUUGUCAUUCUUAAAAUGUGCAGCAAAAGGCUUGAACGUCGCCAAUCAUAUGGAAUCACAGGUGUAGGAACAGAGGGAAAAAAGAACCUUCAAUUUCUGGCCUUUCAACUCGAAAAAGCACACUGGCAAUAACAAUCAUAAAUUAUUAAAUAUAUAAAUAUACAUAAAAACAAGUCUGAUCACAUAAAUGUUUGUUAAAAAUAUUGUUUUACUUAAAGGAAUAGUUUGACAUUUACCUGAACUUUACACACUUAUUAGCAUUCUUGCUCAGAGUUGGAUGCAAUUGAGCGAAAGCACUCCUAAUGUUUGUAAUGUAAUAAUGCUACCGCUAGCUGCUAGUUAGCUUAGCACAAACACUGGAAACAUAGGAGAACAACUAGCCUUGCUCUGUUCAAACUAAGGCAACAAUACUUAUCAGCACUUCUGAAGCUCACUAAUAGAAUUAGGCAUUGUGUGGGUAAAUCCGUUAGAAAAACAAGUCGAAAGCAACAGCACUGCAAAGUUACUGACCAAGAAAUAUGGCCCCUAACCACAUAAACUACUUUUUUUUGGUACAGGAUGAUAUGAAAAAAGGUAAAUAAGUGAGUUUAAGCAUGAUUGGCAGAUUUUUUACCAACGGACAGGUUAGCUAUUUCCUGUGUUUCCUGUCUUUAAGUUAAGCUAAGCAGCUGCUAAUGUGAGCUUUGAAUAAGCAUUGGUCCCAAAAGCUCAAACUAUCCCUUUUAAUAUGAGUACAUUUAAUAGAGAUUUUGAAGGGGAAGGUUGUGGGAAGUCCAAGCCUUUUGCAGUUCUUACACAUAUGUGUGUGCUGCAUGUGUGAAAACAGCUAUUGAGCUGCUGAUAUUCAGAGUUUCAUCACCACCGACAAUUCUUACUUGUUUCUGAGCCGUAGCAUUUUAAUUCCUGCAUGAAUGCCCAGCGCUUUGGCAACCAGCCACGUACACUUGGUACAUUUCUAACCUUUGAUUGUUUUAUCCAAACUCUUUAUAUCUACAGCUCAUUGGAAAGUCAAACUGCAACUCAUUAUCUUUUAUUGUUUACCAGGUUUUUACUCAGAAAUAACAACAUAACACACCCUUGUCCUGUUUGAGAACACAGUCAACAUUCUUCAGCAAAUAAUAAAUACAAAAAUGAUGGCAGCUUCAAAUAAAUCAGUCCAUUAAAGAAUGGUUAUUCAGUAAACUGAGUAAAUACCUGGCAAACAACACUCUGUCCUGUGUGGAGGUUUACAUGAGGACAUUGGCCCGUGUGUCUGGCAGUCGGAGCCCCACCAACCCGCCGGCAACCAGCACAGACGAGGCCAGCAGGAUGGGGAUCGCCUUGGUGAUGCCAACCAGAGAGCCAAAGAUCAGGUUGCCCAGCACCGCCGCCAGCUUACACAUGGCAUUGCAGAAGCCGAAGCCUGUGCCCCUGAAAACAAUCGGACACAAAGGAGAGAGUCAGAAUUUAAAAUAGGCUGCAGUGGUUGGAGUAGAAUGUGUAAGCUCUGUAUUAGAAAAUAAUAGUGCAAUUUGUAUUCAGUAAAAUAAGUGUAAUGUUAAGGGGUGUACAGUGUCAGCCCAGUGUCUUCCUCAAAUAGUGUAACUUCAUGUGUAAGAAAGUUGAGGGCCCAGCUGCCAAGGCCUGUAUGCAGGAGUAGGGAGGUGUGUGUCUGUAUGUGUAGGAGGUUUCAUGAAAGGAGUAGGAGUAGCUAGAGAAUGUUCUCGCGAAUAUUAGAAAAAAACAAAAUAGGGGUAGAAGUAGCUGGAGGGCCUUCAGCCCUUAUUAGAAACACACUGAAGUCAGUAAAAAAUGUAGUCAAAUGUCAAAAACAUUGGAAUGACAGUUUGAAGAUGGAACAGCAGGGGUUAGGACUGUCUCAGUAUAAAAAGGAGAAAGCACGUUCACAUCUUUGGUCCAGUCGUCCGGAGACCGGCUCCAGUUCUCAUUCUUUUAAGAAUAAAACUAUAUGCAUCAAA
Molecule: long non-coding RNA, 2333 nt
Organism: Gymnodraco acuticeps
Lineage: Eukaryota; Metazoa; Chordata; Actinopteri; Perciformes; Bathydraconidae
Exons: 2
Source: RefSeq, a predicted model, not a curated record